UUCCAGCAUGCAGUGACCAGUUC
Molecule: non-coding RNA, 23 nt
Filed under: Mus musculus (house mouse)
Lineage: Eukaryota; Metazoa; Chordata; Mammalia; Rodentia; Muridae
Source: RNAcentral